UACGAAGGGGGCGAGCGUUGUUCGGAUUUACUGGGCGUAAAGGGCGCGUAGGCGGCCUUGUCAGUCAGGCGUGAAAGCCCCGGGCUCAACCUGGGAACGGCGCUUGGGACGGCGAGGCUGGAGUUCGGGAGAGGAGAGUGGAAUUCCCAGUGUAGAGGUGAAAUUCGUAGAUAUUGGGAAGAACACCAGUGGCGAAGGCGGCUCACUGGCCCGAUACUGACGCUGAGGCACGAAAGCGUGGGGAGCAAACAGG
This 253-nucleotide ribosomal RNA is filed under the name uncultured bacterium. RNAcentral describes it as "partial 16S ribosomal RNA". It matches the Rfam family "Bacterial small subunit ribosomal RNA", at positions 524 to 776 of the family's 1533-position model. The record is from RNAcentral.